AACGAACGCUGGCGGCAUGCCUAACACAUGCAAGUCGAACGAGACCUUCGGGUCUAGUGGCGCACGGGUGCGUAACACGUGGGAAUUUGCCUCGGGGUAUGGAAUAACUCAGGGAAACUUGAGCUAAUACCAUAUAAUGUCUUCGGACCAAAGAUUUAUCGCCCUGAGAUAAGCCCGCGUAGGAUUAGCUAGUUGGUGGGGUAAAGGCUCACCAAGGCGACGAUCCUUAGCUGGUCUGAGAGGAUGAUCAGCCACACUGGGACUGAGACACGGCCCAGACUCCUACGGGAGGCAGCAGUGGGGAAUAUUGGACAAAUGGGCGAAAGCCUGAUCCAGCAAUGCCGCGUGAGUGAUGAAGGCCUUGGGUUGUAAAGGUACUCUUUACUUCGGGUACCGAAGUAAU
RNAcentral lists this ribosomal RNA (403 nucleotides) under uncultured bacterium. Its description in RNAcentral is "bacterial SSU rRNA". It matches the Rfam family "Bacterial small subunit ribosomal RNA", at positions 29 to 487 of the family's 1533-position model. The record is from RNAcentral.